UACGUAGGUGGCAAGCGUUGUUCGGAUUCAUUGGGCGUAAAGGGCGCGUAGGCGGCCUCUGCAAGUCGACUGUGAAAUCUCCGGGCUUAACCCGGAAAGGUCAGCCGAUACUGCAGGGCUAGAGUGCAGAAGGGGCAACUGGAAUUCUCGGUGUAGCGGUGAAAAUGCGUAGAUAUCGAGAGGAACACCUGCGGCGAAGGCGGGUUGCUGGGCUGACACUGACGCUGAAGUGCGAAAGCUAGGGGAGCGAACGGG
RNAcentral lists this ribosomal RNA (255 nucleotides) under uncultured bacterium. RNAcentral's name for it is "partial 16S ribosomal RNA". It matches the Rfam family "Bacterial small subunit ribosomal RNA", at positions 524 to 776 of the family's 1533-position model. The record is from RNAcentral.